This is a long non-coding RNA of Oreochromis aureus, 919 nucleotides long. The record is from Ensembl. NCBI's taxonomy places the organism in Eukaryota, Metazoa, Chordata, Actinopteri, Cichliformes, Cichlidae.
GUCUGAGAGACGUUCGAGCGACUGUCGGGAAAACGGAAUAUAAAGUGAAUUAAAGAAGCAGCCCGAGCAGCCCGCACCUUUGGGAUGUGGUGCAGCAGGAGAUUCGCAUCAUGGAUGUGCAGCCGACAAAUCUGUUGCAACUUUGUGAUGCUGUCAUGUCAACAUGGACCAGAAUCUGACGAAUCUUUCCAGCAGCUUUUUGGAUGAAGGAGGCAGUUCUGAAGGCAAAAGUACGAUUUGAUUAAUGUGGGUUUUGGCUCGUCUGGACAGAAACAUCAGCAAGGACACUGUGGACGUAAAAUGCUUCUGCUGCUGCUGCUGUGAUGGUGGUGUUGCAGACCCCCCAUGCAGGCCAGAUCUUUCUGCAGCUUCUGCACCGACACAUGAUCUGACUAGGAAGGAUGCAAAGGUGGAAGCAGACCGUGCUGGAUUUAGUUUCACAGCAUCUUACUGGAGCAAACGCACACAACAUACUGCAAGGUUUUCAGUAGUAUCUACUUCCCCCUUUUUUUUUCUUUUUUUUGUUUGAGAGGACACGGAUACACCCUGACUGGGCCCCUGUAGUGCUCUACAUUGUGGUUGGGAAGUACCUAGUUUUACAACUGUCAUGCUGGCCUGCUUAAAGGGACAGUGCUGAUCAAUUCGAAGCACAUAUUCAGGGGUCUUUUAGUCACCCUAACAAGGGGGUCACAUGGAUGUUUGAGUCGUCAUUCCUCAUGUGAGGAAUGUGCAGUCCGAAGAGCCGCUUUCUGCAUCAAGCACUGCAUAAAAAUACUGAUUGAUAUUUGUUAAAAGAAUGUCUUUAAUAAAAAGUUGAAUUGAAUUGGGUGUGAGAGUUUCCUGCUUUUGAAAAACGAAAGAGAGAAGACUCACAACUCUACAGGUUCUUUUUAGUCUGAAUGCAUAGUGGAUUUGUUUU